Poecile atricapillus (Black-capped chickadee) is the source of this 3081-nucleotide long non-coding RNA. RefSeq lists it as uncharacterized. The record is from RefSeq and is a predicted model, not a curated record. NCBI's taxonomy places the organism in Eukaryota, Metazoa, Chordata, Aves, Passeriformes, Paridae. The transcript has 5 exons.
AGCUCCUGUCCCAGAGCCUGAGCUCCUGUCCCAGGGCAGAGCCUGAGCUCCUGUCCCAGAGCAGAGCCUGAGCUCCUGUCCCAGGGCAGAGCCUGAGCUCCUGUCCCAGAGCCUGAGCUCCUAGUCCAGAGCCUGAGCUCUCUUCUGGGAGUUGGGCUCACAGCCUCCUGUCAAUUAAUGCUGUUUUUCCAGAAAGAUCCCUUAACAUUGUCUUCAUCAUGACUAGAUGGUGUUGGCCGUGCCACUGUUCUGGAGUCCCCAGACAGCAUUUCACAGAAUCAUGGAAUGGUUUGGGUUGGAAGGGACUUUAAACUCAUCCAUUUCCACCCCUGUCCUGGCAGGGACAUCUCCACUGUCCCAGGUGCUCCCAGCCCCAUCCAGCCUGGCUUUGGGCACUGCCAGGGAUCAGGGGCAGCCCCAGCUGCUCUGGGCACCUGAGCCAGCCCUCCCCACCCUCCCAGGGAGGAAUUCCUGCCCAAUAUCCCAUCUGAUUUGCUUUCAUUAGUUUAAAUACAAGAACCAAGAAUUCCUUUUGGCCCCAGGGGGUGACUGAGCAGCCCAGUCCCUCUGGGCUCUGGGGCCCUGUCCCUCUCUCCUGUGUGUUGGUGGUUCAGUGUCCUGCAACAGCAACAGUGCCAAGCUACUGUGUGUAAAUAUUUGAGACAUAUAAAUGGUAGAAUUCACUGUUUCCUCAAGUCAAUACAGUUUACACUGAGUGGACCAUAUUUGCAAACUAUUAGCUUACACCAAGAAAGGGAGUGAACUGUGAUUUCAUCUGUAUUUGUUGAAUCAUAAGUUUAGUAGCGUAUUUAGUAGAGUUGAUAGUGAUCUAUAGCUGUGUUUUGGGGUGUGGAUUAUGUUCUUUGCAGCUCGUGUUUUUGCACAAGGUAGUAAAUCCAGGAAGUCAUUUCUGCCUGGAUAUGCACUACAUUUUUCAGAGCAGUCAGAGACUAAAACUGCCAUCUAGCAAACAGCAGGAAAGAGGAACACUUCUAUUUUUCAAGUUUAGCACUUUAUGUUUGCAACCCAUUUCUCUUAAGUUAUUUAAAAACGUUUUUAAAAGCAAAAUUUAAUACAUGUGUUCCUAUUUACUGUACAUUAAAAUAAAUGGAUUCUCUGCUGGAAAUCUCAUCUUUUCCUCUAGUAUGCUCAUAAUUUGUACUUUUGGGGAGUGAAGCAUUGUUUUUUCCUUCUUCUGUGUAGUAUCUUGUUUGUGGCCUUAGUGUUCUUCCUAUUCCUUUAUCGGUGUGAGUUAUGCUGUAGCAGUUCAUGUGUGACUUGUGUGCUUUGGGGCUGCUCCAGGUGAUGCCCUGAGUGAAUCCCACCCUGCUCCUGCUGCCCCUGGCUCCAGGUGAUGCUCCUGAAUCCCACCCUGCUCCUGCUGCCCCUGGCUCCAGGUGAUGCUCUGAGUGAAUCCCACCCUGCUCCUGCUGCCCCUGGCUCCAGGUGAUGCUCCUGAAUCCCACCCUGUUCCUGCUGCCCCUGGCUCCAGGUGAUGCUCCUGUGUGUGUCCCACCCUGCUCCUGCUGCCCCUGGCUCCAGGUGAUGCUCUGAGUGAAUCCCACCCUGUUCCUGCUGCCCCUGGCUCCAGGUGAUGCUCUGAAUCCCACCCUGCUCCUGCUGCCUGUGCUGAGCUGCUGCAGGGUGAGGUUUUGUGGCACACACUGUUCUCUUCCUGUCCCCCUGCAGUAAUUGCAGGUGUGUCACAGCCCUCUCUGUCCCCUUCUCUCUGGAUUUCUCUCCCCACAGAGCUUGUCCUGUUGAUUUGUUUAGCUCAGCCCGUGGUGCAGUGGGAGCCCAGCCCUGCAUUCAGCAGCUCCAGGCUGUGCAGGGUGUGAUCAGAGCUGGCUGAGGGAGGGCAGCACCAUCCCUGGUGUCCCUGGUGGUCCUGGUGUCCCUGGCUGUGCUGGGAGCUGCUCCAGAGGGGUUUUCCUGUGCUCCCCAAUCCCAGCCAAACCCAGCCAGCCUCGGGCUCUGGAGCUGCCGAGGGGAGCUGGGUUAUGGGGGACCCCCAGCCCAGGGGAAUCCCUCAAGCUGCUCUGAGGGGUUCAGGUGUGAGAAAGCUGCUGCUUAAAACCCCCUGGUUUGCACAGGCACAGCCCUGCCCCAGGGAUCUGAGCCCUGCAGCUCCAUGUCCCAAGCUGUUCCUGUGGCAUUGGGCUCAUCCCACGGUGCCUGGGGCCAGCAGGAGCUGGAUGGGCUCCUCAUAAUAAAUAAAUAUAUAUUUAUUCCUCCUCAUAAUAAAUACAUUUAUUUAUUAUUAGUCAUUUCAUGAGUGUUAAACUCUAUGAUUUGCAUGAAAUCCUGUGGUUCACAGCUUUGCCAAUAUGGUCCAUUACUACUGCCUACGACAACUUGUGUACUUAUAUGCCUUCGAGAACAUUUUUAAUUGUUAAAAUUGUUUUAAAAAUCAGUGUUAAGUUAAUUUAAUUUUUAAUGGGGAAAUGAAUUCUGGUGUCAAAAUGGUAUUUACUGUGAUGCCGAUGUUUUGUACCUGUCAUCCAGCUAAACAACCUGUAAAUACUCCUGAGUCAAGAGAAAUAUGAAUGCCAAUUAUUUAUUGUUCUGUGGAGUUACAUGUCGCAGAUGUGUAAGAACUUAAAAGGGAAUGUUGUAAAACAAGGUGGAAAAAAUAAAUUUUAUUCAACUUCUUUACUUCCCCCCUGUAUGAUGCAGCUGGUCAGUCCUGGUGUGGUCAGCCAGGAAUUGUGUGUGGGAAUUGUCAGGAUCUGGAGAAGUUGUGCUGUGGCCCUUUAACCUUUAACCUGCAAAUCCAAGAAAUGAGCAGAGCUGCUUGGUUAAACUCUUCCUAGAGCUGGGUUUGGUUGUGACAGGGGUGGUCACUGCUGCUGGCAGCCACUGCUGGGAAUCAGGAGGGAAUUGUCAUUGGAACACAGAUAUAUCCUGCCCUGGGAAGAGCAGUGAUGCAACAGCAUUAGGAACAGCUAUUUUGGGAAUGUUCUCAUCCCUUGGCCAUUUGAUUCAGUCUGUGGCUCGGCACAAGAGCAGUCCCAGGGCCAGCAACAGGGGCAGAGGAAGGAUUUAACACUGAAUAUUCUCCACAGGGGACACGUCAAUAAU